RNAcentral lists this ribosomal RNA (253 nucleotides) under uncultured bacterium. RNAcentral describes it as "partial 16S ribosomal RNA". It matches the Rfam family "Bacterial small subunit ribosomal RNA", at positions 524 to 776 of the family's 1533-position model. The record is from RNAcentral.
UACAGAGGGUGCGAGCGUUGUUCGGAAUUAUUGGGCGUAAAGGGCGCGUAGGCGGUGCGGUAAGUCACCUGUGAAAUCUCCUGGCUCAACUGGGAGCUUGCAGGCGAAACUGCCGUGCUGGAGUGUGGGAGAGGUGCGUGGAAUUCCUGGUGUAGCGGUGAAAUGCGCAGAUAUCAGGAGGAACACCGGUGGCGAAGGCGGGUCUCUGGGCCGAUACUGACGCUGAGGAGCGAAAGCGUGGGGAGCAAACAGG